UCGCCUUUUUCAAUCCUCACCGUUCCAUCAAUUAUCAGCGGCCGACGCCAGCACUCGACUCCUUCCGCACGCGUUUCCUUCAUGAACCCGCUUCUAGAAACGUGGACCUGCUCCCAGAAACAUCGGGGUUAUGGUCUCGCUCCGGCAUCACGCCUUUCUUUAUUCGUCGCUACCCGUCUUCCAGGCUCCUCCCGCGGCGCGCCUGAGUUUCGCCCUCGCAGCGCACCCCGCACGUACUUCCUCCUCAUCUUCGGACCCGGCGGCAUGCGCUCCUUCAGUUGCGCUGCCAUAGGUACGCGGCGGCGUGGAAAUACUGUGCUGCACCACGCGCCAUGCGCGAGCUCCUCCUUCAACCAGGGCGGCGCAUGGAAAAGGAUGUGGCCACAGUCGAGGCCGCAGUCGCGGUACCGGGGCGGCAACUGGACGUGCGGGUGGCCACGCUCGUCAGGAUGCUCAUUUCCAAGGGCAGGGCCGCGAUGCUUGCCGAGGCCCUGGACGAGUUCGACGCCAUCUGCAUCCGCCUGCUGCCACUGCGUGUGCCCUUAUAUUAGUUUGUGUUUGCUACAAAUAGUUCCUAGUGUCUUGUUCGUGUAUUCUCUCCUGCGAAUCGUGCUGACUACAGCUACAGAAAGGCACUUUUCCCAAUCCAGAGUUUCAAUUUUUGACUAUCUUCUGAAAGCAAUUUUCCCGUUUCGCCUGAUGUAGACUAAUUGCUGAAUAUGUUACCGACGAUCAUUAGGCUUAAUAAUAUUGAUUAAUUAAUUUUAAGCUUUUCCGUAAAACAUCAUAUCUAGAAAAAAUGAAUCUUCUCCACGAAGCAACAUAUCUGAAAAAUGAAAUAAUAAAUUAAGUUGUCAUGUGAUCUGAUAUUAUAUCUUUAAUUAUCUUAUACUACUAAAUCUUUGUGCAGGAAGAUACUCGGAGCGGUGCCAAAUUCAUCACACAUCAAUGAGAUGGACUCAGACUGAUUCUCUCCUCAUGCUCUUCCAUCUCAGAUGAGAGCUCCCACCACUUUGUGUAAUGAGCGUCUGUUUUUUUCUGUCUCUGUAUGCUCCUACAAGCAAAGGGUCAAAUUUCCAGCAAUAUUUUGGCAUUACAAUAGGUGGGUCAUUGUGACAAUUAUGCAUGAAGGGAAUUUAGGCCCUGUUCUAAUCUCGCGAGAUAAACUUUAGUAGCUUUUUUUAGCUACUUUUAGCCAUUUGUAAUCUAAACAAGAGAGCUAAUGGUGAUAAUUAAAGUUAAACUUUAGCACUUCAAUUCAUAUAGUUAAAGUUUAGCAGGAAGCUAAAGUUUAUCCCGUGAGAUUGAAACGGGGCCUUAUUUAUUCUACUUAUAGCAGAUCGAAUUGAGAGGAAACUACAAUUUUGGUAACAUUUCUGGAUAUGGCCAGACCUAAAGUUUGACAAGCCUGAGUAGAAAUAGAUAAGACCCUUAGUUGUUUUUAUUAGAUUUAUACGUUGUUGUUCCUAUUUAUAUUUUCGUAAUUACACUACAAUAGCAAAGGUGGACUAU
RNAcentral lists this long non-coding RNA (1512 nucleotides) under Zea mays. RNAcentral describes it as "long non-coding RNA (ZMAY_LNC000192)". Lineage: Eukaryota; Viridiplantae; Streptophyta; Magnoliopsida; Poales; Poaceae. The record is from RNAcentral.